RNAcentral lists this long non-coding RNA (205 nucleotides) under Nicotiana benthamiana. Its description in RNAcentral is "long non-coding RNA (NBEN_LNC037906)". The record is from RNAcentral. Lineage: Eukaryota; Viridiplantae; Streptophyta; Magnoliopsida; Solanales; Solanaceae.
UCAGGUUCGUGGGUGAAUGAGUGAUCAGUUUUUGGUACGAACCUUGUCUUUUGACCAAGCGGGCUCGGGCUCAAUUUUUGACUUUUUGGGAAGAACGAUUAGAAAGCUAUAAGUAAGCAUUGGAAUUGGAUUAUUUAGCUUUUAUUGAUGUUAUUAAGUCAAUUAUAUCUAGAUACAAUUGAUUUGGAGCUAAAUUAAAAAGAGG